AUUUCAGCUUGCACUGAAUGAGAUUUUAACACGAAGUGAGUGGCGGACGGGUGAGUAACACGUGGGUAACCUGCCCAGAAGCAGGGGAUAACACCUGGAAACAGAUGCUAAUACCGUAUAACAGAAAAAACCGCCUGGUUUUCUUUUAAAAGAUGGCUCUGCUAUCACUUCUGGAUGGACCCGCGGCGCAUUAGCUAGUUGGUGAGGUAACGGCUCACCAAGGCGAUGAUGCGUAGCCGACCUGAGAGGGUAAUCGGCCACAUUGGGACUGAAACACGGCGCAAACUCCUACGGGAGGCAGCAGUAGGGAAUCUUCCACAAUGGACGCAAGUCUGAUGGAGCAACGCCCCGUGAGUGAAGAAGGGUUUCGGCUCGUAAAGCUCUGAUGUUAAAGAAGAACGUGGGUGAAAGUAACUGUUCACCCAGUGACGGUAUUUAACCAGAAAGCCACGGCUAACUACGUGCCAGCAGCCGCGGUAAUACGUAAGUGGCAAGCGUUAUCCGGAUUUAUUGGGCGUAAAGCGAGCGCAGGCGGUCUUUUAAGUCUAAUGUGAAAGCCUUCGGCUCAACCGAAGAAGUGCAUUGGAAACUGGGAGACUUGAGUGCAGAAGAAGACAGUGGAACUCCAUGUGUAGCGGUGAAAUGCGUAGAUAUAUGGAAGAACACCAGUGGCGAAGGCGGCUGUCUGGUCUGUAACUGACGCUGAGGCUCGACAUGUGGUUUAAUUCGAAGCUACGCGAAGAAAAUGGGCAAAU
RNAcentral lists this ribosomal RNA (755 nucleotides) under Pediococcus sp. RNAcentral describes it as "bacterial SSU rRNA". It matches the Rfam family "Bacterial small subunit ribosomal RNA", at positions 66 to 807 of the family's 1533-position model. The record is from RNAcentral. Lineage: Bacteria; Bacillati; Bacillota; Bacilli; Lactobacillales; Lactobacillaceae.